This 254-nucleotide ribosomal RNA is filed under the name uncultured bacterium. Its description in RNAcentral is "partial 16S ribosomal RNA". It matches the Rfam family "Bacterial small subunit ribosomal RNA", at positions 524 to 776 of the family's 1533-position model. The record is from RNAcentral.
UACGGGGGGAGCAAGCGUUGUCCGGAUUUACUGGGCGUAAAGGGCGCGUAGGCGGCCACUGCAAGUCGGUUGUGAAAUCUCCGGGCUUAACCCGGAAAGGUCAACCGAUACUGCAGGGCUAGAGUGCAGAAGGGGCAACUGGAAUUCUCGGUGUAGCGGUGAAAUGCGUAGAUAUCGAGAGGAACACCUGCGGCGAAGGCGGGUUGCUGGGCUGACACUGACGCUGAAGCGCGAAAGCUAGGGGAGCGAACGGG